Molecule: unclassified non-coding RNA, 172 nt
Filed under: uncultured fungus
Lineage: Eukaryota; Fungi
Description: sequence contains ITS1
Source: RNAcentral
UUUCUUUCAUUUAUCAUGUUUGUAACCAAUGACUGUUUCAAAUGCAUACAGGGUUAAAGGUAUUAAAAGGGGACAAAUGCACAAGUGUGUGAAAUAAUGAUGCGGGCCUUCUCCGGUUAGGAGGGACUCCCGAGAUUCAUUAAUGAUCCUUCCGCAGGUUCACCUACGAAAA